ACCAAAAAGGAUUUCCAGGACGAGAGGAGGCAGAGGUUCCCAGGGCUUGCAGACAAAAAGGCCCUAAUGCAGAUGAUGAGACGCUGUGAACGGGAGAAUGAUGUUUAGGAGAAACCCUGACGUCCGGAAAGCUGGGUUCUCUGAAGGGACCCUCCCAAGAGCUGUUAUAUCCACAGGAGGGAAGAUAGUUACACAAAGGAGGUGUGGUAUUCACAGGCAUUCUCACCAGCCCAGGUCUCUGGAGAGGGAGCCAAGCAAUGCCAAGGAAGAAGAGAGGAAGGCGGGACUGGUCCCCUUCAGACAAGGCUGCUUAGAGGCUUAGCUGCUGAUCUCACCACUGCCCCAGGCCCUGGGUGGCGCUCCUUCCAAAUCUGUAACCCUGUGUGAUUACACUGUGGACUGUGGGGCUUUAACUCAAAUCACAAAGAGCCUCUUUGAUCUAAAAGUUUCUCUGAAUUACCUCCACAUCCCUUUCUCUUCUGCCUCUGGGCAGGACUUCUUUUAAAACCAGUGAGUUCACUUACAUCUUCGCAGUAGCCAUUGGGUGCUAGGCUAUUCUCAGAUAAGGAAGCAAA
Octodon degus (degu) is the source of this 575-nucleotide long non-coding RNA. RefSeq lists it as uncharacterized. The record is from RefSeq and is a predicted model, not a curated record. NCBI's taxonomy places the organism in Eukaryota, Metazoa, Chordata, Mammalia, Rodentia, Octodontidae. The transcript has 3 exons.